This 622-nucleotide unclassified non-coding RNA is filed under the name Hevea brasiliensis (rubber tree). The record is from RNAcentral. Lineage: Eukaryota; Viridiplantae; Streptophyta; Magnoliopsida; Malpighiales; Euphorbiaceae.
AAAAAAAUUGUUUUAUUUUUUUUUUUUGAAUUUCCUAUAUAAAUUUGAAUGGGAUUCUAGGUUUUUUAUUUUUAUUUUCAAAUUUUUUAUGCCUUAAUAGAUGUAAUUGUCCUGAAAUGGACUUCUCAAUUCUACAGCAUGGGUAUUUUUUUUGGGUUAUUUUUUUUUUUUGAAAUUUAUUUUUCUAAUAAUCGAACAGUGUGGAAAUUGCGUAAAUGUGCAAUUUUUUUUUAUUGAAAUGAUUUUGGUGUAACUUGAAGUUUAAACAUUUGGUUGGUUGCUUCUUUUCUUUUUUUAAUUUUUUGAAAAUGGGUUAUAAUAAUAAAAUUGGAUCUCAGAUGGAUGAAGAGGUCAGGAGCCAUGUGGGUAUAAUAUUAGCUUUUUUGUUCUUUUGAUUAUUUUAUUGAUGAACCAGUUGUCAGUUUAGCGUGAUUCUUUAGCUAAGCACGUUCUUAGUAUUUAGGUAAUUAUUAAUUAAUGUAUGUAUAUGAAUCUCUUAACUUUGUUUUUGCUUGUUUUGGUGGUGAAUGCUUAUGUAUAUCAGAUACAAUUUGGCUUCUUCAACUCGUUCUGUCUUUCCGGUCUAGAUUUGCUCAAAUUGUGUGGUUAGAAUACAGGUUUA